UUUCUUGUGGUUGUUAUGUCCCUCCAUUAGUCAUGUCUCAAGGUUUUAAAAUAAUAGCCUAGACACAGCACAGUCCUAUUGUGAGUUUUUGUUCCCCUUACCUGGAAUGCCUCACAUUGUAAGUCUAGACACUUUUGCAACCAAAUUAAGUCAAAUUGGAUUACAUAGUUCUCAAAAGUAAGAAAUGAAAACAAUAGAUUUAAUCUUCAAAUGGUUGAAUUGGUGUGUUCUUGUUCUACUUAUCAGCUAGUAUAGACCCUGAAAAUCAAUCUAAUGGAAGAUAGCAUUGAAAUUGUGAUUUUGAUUUGCCAAAGUAUAAAAGACUGUAUCAAUUUUUUCCUCUUUAUCCCAUUCAGAUCAGGAUUUCUCAGUCAGUAAUUGCAGUGAACCCAGAAGAAGAGGUGAUGAGGAGAGGAGAAGAUAUCAGUUAAGGAAUGAAAUAUAAGAGCCCAAGAAAUGGGUAACUAAUUUCACAACCACUAUGAAUAGUUAUUUUAUCCAAAAAGCAAUAAACUAUUAUUUAAAUGGCAGCUUAUGCAAGAAUUGAGAAGGUAUUAAUACAAAGAUAAGGAGAUUCCACCUUUGGUAGAAAAGAUAAUACCAGUAAGCCAAUAGAAUGAUGAAAUGAACUACAGGAAAAUGGAGAGUAUUAUCAGCAGAAGGGAUCUUUGAUGGAAAAUAGAGUAGGUUGCAUCACAGGGCACCUGAUGAAACUCGUAACCCAUCAGAAUGAAGCUCUGUUUUAAGAGAGAUUGUGGUAAAGGGAGAUGAGAUGAAGCGAUAGAACCAUGGAUUCAAGUAUGGGUUGAACUACCUAAUAGGACAACAUUUGUGAUGGUUACAAUGAAAUGUUUCACUGCAAGCCCUAAUUUUCUUCUAUAAAAUAAUUGCUUUCUGAUACUAAAGAGCAAAAAUUUCAUUGGUUGGUACUAAACUAUAUUUCUGGUGCCAACAUAAGAAAAAUAAGCUACCACAAAAUAAUUUGAAGUCCACUCUUUGAAGAUAAAGAAUUAUAAAGCCUACCACACUAUUAAAGAUGUUGUAACUGGUCCUUUGGGGGAAAUAGAACUUCACAUUUUGACAUAGUAUACCCAGAAACUCCAUUAUAUUUUUUCUUCAUCAGAAUUUGGUGCAUACCUGAUGUGGAAAAGAUUUAAUUUUUAAAUAAUCUUUCAUGUGUCCCGUACAAGAAUGCUGAGGCAAAUAUUCAGGGAGAGGAGCUAGAUGAUGAGAAGGACUCUGAAGGGAGUAGAAAACAGAAGAUAGUCUUGGGAGGGUAAACUAGGGAUUGUUACAUCUACAUUAUUGGAAUUAAGUUCUCAGUUGAAAAAUUUGUAUACAUUAAUUGCUUAUCAUAUCGGUUCUAGAAAUAAUUGCAUUGGACUCGGGAGAUACAAAUAUAAAAAGAGCAGCAUUUCCUCUGCCCUGUAGAACCCAAAAUCUCUCAUUCAGGGUCAACUUAUUUCACUCCUAUAUUAGUCAGGGAUCAUGUGGUUGCAAAAAACAGAAAUAUACUCAAGUCUCUUAGGCAAAGAGAAUUAGUAGGAUUAGAAUCCUGAAAAUAGGAACAUCCAAAUAUCUCUCUCUCUUCUCCCCCUAACUCUACUCUUUUAUUCAUAGAGUGACUACAACUGCUUUCCUGAUAUUAGGGCCUUAGCUUUUGAAGCAAGACUUUAUAGUCGUAGCACCUGUUGCUUAGUCCCUUUGCACCCAAUUCCAAGUCAAUGAGAAAGAGACUCUAAUAGAAACAAUUCAGAUAAGAUAUUGAUUCCUGAAGUAAACAAAUAUUAUUGAGCAUAUACUAUGUGCUAGACACUAUUCAAGACCCUGGAGCUCCACAGUGGACAACAUUGAUAUCUCAUGUGCUUAUAUUUAGUAUCAGGAUAGGGUAGGGUGCAGCACGGAUAAUAAAGAGUGAGUUUUAUAAUGGUUGCUCAAGGAUGAUAAGUAUUAGAUAUCUGACAAAGCAUCUCUGAGAAGGUGAGAGUUGAGCAGGAGCCCUAAGAAAGCAAGAGAACCAGCCAUGAGAAUACGUGGGAGAAGAUCCUUUUGGUGAAGGGCCAGCAAGUGUAGGAGCCCUGAAAUGGGGCCAGUAAGAUCCCUGAGACUGAAGCAGACUAAGCAACAAAAGAGUGGCCUGCAAAGAGGUCCAAGGUGGAACUUUGGGUGGGAGGGUGUCAAGACCCAACUUUUAUCAUACAGUGAAGUUUGCCCAAGAUCAUCCAGCCUGUAAGUAGCAGAUCCAAGAUUCAAGCCCAAGCAGUUUGGUACCAGAGUCGAAGUUCUUAAUUACCAUUUGACUCCCUUUAAUUAUGAUGCAGGGUCUCAUAAUGAGAUUUUCAGGAAAGUUUUCAGAUAGUCUAAAACUUCAUCCAUUCUUCCAAAUAUAUUGGGCUUGCACUCUGAAGGCAAUGAUAGAAAAUCUAGCAGUUGGGGCCUUUUUUAAAAAAAAAUUAUUUAUUUAUUUAUUUAUUUAUUUAUUUAUUUAUGACACAGAAAGAGGCAGAGACAUAGGCAGAGGGAGAAGCAGGCUUCCCACAGGGAGCCUGAUGCAGGACUCGAUCCCAGGAUCCUGGGGUCAUGACCUGAGGCAGACAAUCGCUGAGCCAGCCAGGUGCCCCGAGCUGGGGCCUAUUUCAUCAUCAAAAGACACAUGUACCUUUGCUACGACAACUCCAUUCAGUUAAUUUGCCAUUGAAAGUCCUAGUUUCAUUUGUCAAAUAUCCAUAGUACUAUUCAGAACAGGUUCUUCUCUUGCUGUUCAGUUACUUUCCCUAUACCUUCCAAAAGCAGCAUGUAGAUUACCUUUUUUAAGCAAGAAGGGGAAAAGCCACUUAACCAGAAUCACAUAGCAAAGUAGGGACUAUGCUGGCAACAGCAUUUCAGAAAUGGUGCAAGAAAGUAAACUGCAAAUGGAUGGCUUCUGUGAGACUGCUCCACUUGCAGGAAUCUCUAAAGUAUAUCAACAAAAUAGGAACCUACUUUCUUUAGAACAGAGUCAUUGUCAAAGUGUGUGUCCUUUGUUCAAGAGUGAAUGUGUUUACAUGAUGCAUGCUCAGAGUAAAAGAAUGCACAGCAUAGAAAGCAGAGCACACAAGAAACCAAUUCUUUCCUUCAAAUUGUAAGACACCUUGAUGGACUGAUUCCAAUUGACCAGAAGCCUUGAUUUACUAAAAUUGCAGCCUUGUGUCUGUUUGUAUGAAGAAGAAUCAGAAUCAGAAUCAGAAUCAGAUAACAUGGCAACAUCUUUAUUUUACUUUUUAUUUUAUUAUCAAUAACUCCAACCCUAAUUAGGGUGUCACGCACUUGCAGAUUCAGCCCCAUUUACUUCAACAGCAGGACUAAAUGUUUAGAAUUCAUAUUUAACUGGAUUCAUUUGUUCACCUCAAAAAUAUUGUUUGAGUACUUACUACAUGUCAGGCACCAUCCUAGGCCCUGAAGACACAACUUUGAAUGUCCUAAAGGCCCUUCUCUCAUGAAGCUUACAUUGAAGGGAGAUAGACAAAAAAUAAACAAGUCAAUAUAUAACAUAUUGGUUAGUGAUACAUGCUGCAAGUGAAAAAAGCAAAGCAGUGCAAGGGUGAAAGGCUAAGGGGAGAGUGGGAGUGAUUUUUUUUAAUCAAGUGUGGUCAUGGGAGGGCUCUCUGAUUAGGUGAAAGCUGAGCAAAGAUCUGGUCUAGACUAUGACCUGAUGAUAGAAAAAGUUGCAUUUAGUUGCCAUAUUCUGUUAAGCCAAGGAAAAAGAUGGAUGCAUUUCAAGAACUGUUUUGGCAAGAUUUUUAAAGAAAACAUUAACCCUCAGCUAAUUAGAAAAUCCAAUUAACCAGAAUUCCUCCUCAUCCUAUUUCCUAGGCAUUGCGGUUAUAAGAAAGCAGCAAUAUAUACAUUUAACUAUCCUUAG
This 3901-nucleotide long non-coding RNA is filed under the name Canis lupus familiaris (dog). RNAcentral's name for it is "lncRNA (ENSCAFG00845003358.1)". The record is from RNAcentral. Lineage: Eukaryota; Metazoa; Chordata; Mammalia; Carnivora; Canidae.